GACGUAGGGGGCGAGCGUUGUCCGGAAUUACUGGGCGUAAAGAGCACGUAGGCGGGAUUUUAAGUCAGCUGUGAAAUGUAUCUGCUUAACGGGUACACUGCAGUUGAAACUGGUUUUCUUGAGUGCGUAAGAGGCAGGCGGAAUUCGUUGUGUAGCGGUGAAAUGCUUAGAUAUGACGAGGAACUCCUAUUGCGAAGGCAGCUUGCUGGGUCGUUACUGACGCUGAUGCUCGAAGGUGCGGGGAUCAAACAGGAUUAGAUA
Molecule: ribosomal RNA, 261 nt
Filed under: uncultured prokaryote
Description: partial 16S ribosomal RNA
Rfam family: Bacterial small subunit ribosomal RNA
Source: RNAcentral